This 326-nucleotide long non-coding RNA is filed under the name Physcomitrium patens. RNAcentral's name for it is "long non-coding RNA (PPAT_LNC011685)". The record is from RNAcentral. Lineage: Eukaryota; Viridiplantae; Streptophyta; Bryopsida; Funariales; Funariaceae.
AAAUACUAUAGAAUUAACUUACUUUUACCUACUUUUACUUACUUCUAUAUAUUUGUAUAUGUAAUUAUGAGUAUGUCCGUGGCUCCCAAUCCUAAACCCUAAAUAAAAUCCUAAUCAAAUUCUAAACCCUAAAUAAAAUCCUAAUCAAAUCCUAAUUCCUAAAUAAAACUCUAAUCAAAUCCUAAAUCCUAAAUUAAAUCCCAACUAAGUCCUAAACUCUAAAUCAAAUCCUAAUCCAAAUCCUAAACCUUAAAUCCUAAACCAAAUCCUAACCAAAUCCAAAAUCCUAAACCAAAUCCUAAUCCAAAUCCUAAAUCUUAAAUCCU